AACGAACGCUGGCGGCAUGCCUAACACAUGCAAGUCGAACGAGACCUUCGGGUCUAGUGGCGCACGGGUGCGUAACGCGUGGGAACCUGCCCUUAGGUUCGGAAUAACUCCCCGAAAGGGGUGCUAAUACCGGAUAAUGUCUUCGGACCAAAGAUUUAUCGCCUUUGGAUGGGCCCGCGUUGGAUUAGCUAGUUGGUAGGGUAAAAGCCUACCAAGGCGACGAUCCAUAGCUGGUCUGAGAGGAUGAUCAGCCACACUGGGACUGAGACACGGCCCAGACUCCUACGGGAGGCAGCAGUGGGGAAUGUUGGACAAUGGGCGAAAGCCUGAUCCAGCAAUGCCGCGUGAGUGAUGAAGGCCUUAGGGUUGUAAAGCUCUUUUACCCGGGAUGAUAAUGACAGUACCGGGAGAAUAAGCUCCGGCUAACUCCGUG
Molecule: ribosomal RNA, 433 nt
Filed under: uncultured bacterium
Lineage: Bacteria
Description: partial 16S ribosomal RNA
Rfam family: Bacterial small subunit ribosomal RNA
Source: RNAcentral